Molecule: long non-coding RNA, 836 nt
Filed under: Eucalyptus grandis
Lineage: Eukaryota; Viridiplantae; Streptophyta; Magnoliopsida; Myrtales; Myrtaceae
Description: long non-coding RNA (EGRA_LNC002489)
Source: RNAcentral
UGGAUAUUUCACUUUCAUAUUUUCAAAAUGAAUGCGAGUCAUAAUUGUCUCCAAAUCGAGUUGAAAGCAAUUCUGCUCUAAUUUGAUCUUUGAUUAUUGGGUUCCAAGUGACAUGAGCAAGUCAAGGUGGACUAUAGCAUCGUACUCCUAAUGUCCAUAAUUCGUCAUAUUUCCCCUAGUAUGGAGAUGGCGAGGACGAUUAAGUGUAACACACCUUAAUCCUUAAGUCCAGUCGAUCCGUGAACCAUAGGAAAAGGGAAUAAGCCAUGGACCCGAAAAUGACAAUAAUACACCAUAUAAAUAUAUACUGAUGUACAAGUAGGAAGGUUAAAUUACAAGCGUAACCUCUCAUAGGCAACACAGUACUAACGCUAAUAUCAUGAGUAGAACAACCUUAAUUAAAUAUUAGUAUCAGACUGAAUCAACACGGCUCAACUCGAAAUAAGAAAUCAAUGCCACGAGAGGAUUAACACACAUCUCCACCGGUAACCAGAGCUAAGGAUCUGAUCUCUAGGCACCCUGCACAGCCACCUGUGGCACCAUCGCCGUCGCUGUCGCCUCCGUCACCCCGGGAUCAGCAGAAGAAGCUUUGCCUUCCUUAUCAGCUCGGCGGGGGCACGGCCACCCUCUCUUGCUCCACUCAUGGUGAUGGUGGUCGUGGCGGUGGUGGAACCCUCGGCUCACGAACGCUCCGAACACGGCUCCUAGCGCGAAGGCAGCGACGGGCCUCAUCGUCAUGUUCGUCUCGGAGAUCCGACCGGACACCUUGAAUCACGAGAGGCUGUAGAAGAAAGUGUUGUGGGGGGAUUAGUUUGAAAGCUUGGAUUGAGAUAUCU